This 499-nucleotide ribosomal RNA is filed under the name uncultured bacterium. RNAcentral describes it as "partial 16S ribosomal RNA". It matches the Rfam family "Bacterial small subunit ribosomal RNA", at positions 28 to 507 of the family's 1533-position model. The record is from RNAcentral.
GACGAACGCUGGCGGCGUGCUUAACACAUGCAAGUCGAACGGGCCUGUCUUCUUUUUUGGGGGUGGGUUGAGUGGCGAACGGGUGAGUAUCACGUGAGUAACCUGCCCUUCGGUCCUGGAUAACCGCUUGAAAGGGCGGCUAAUACGGGGUGGUCCGGUUGGUCUGCAUGGGCUGGUCGGGAUAGAUUCACUGUUUUUGGUGUUUCGGCGGGGGAUGGGCUCGCGGCCUAUCAGCUUGUUGGUGGGGUGAUGGCCUACCAAGGCGGUGACGGGUAGCCGGCCUGAGAGGGUGGGCGGCCACACUGGGACUGAGAUACGGCCCAGACUCCUGCGGGAGGCAGCAGUGGGGGGUAUUGCACAAUGGGCGGAAGCCUGAUGCAGCGACGUCGCGUGAGGGAUGGAGGCCUUCGGGUUGUGAACCUCUGUUUCCGGUGGUGAAGGCCCUGUCCGUGUGGUGGGGUUGACGGUAGCCGGGGAUGAAGCGCCGGCUAACUACGUG